This is a non-coding RNA of Pantherophis guttatus, 5534 nucleotides long. The record is from RefSeq and is a predicted model, not a curated record. NCBI's taxonomy places the organism in Eukaryota, Metazoa, Chordata, Lepidosauria, Squamata, Colubridae.
GGUGGGGGGGGAGAUGGGCAGUUCUUAACAGUUAGUGAACAUUGUCGCUUCAUUAUCCCAUGUCCCUUUUUAGCACUAGAGAAGGUUCAGCGUGUCCUUCACCCCUUUUUCAAUACACCAGGUGGAUGGCCCAAAGUAGUGGGGCAGGGGAGAGAGUCCCCCUUCCUACUGUUUUUGGCUAUGACAGGUGGAGGCAAAAUGGUGGAAGGGAUGCUGUCCCCUCUACCAUAUACCUGCUCCCAUGAUAAACAAAACCCAUUUGUUUACAUCCUCAUUUGUGCACAAAAAGGUACAGUACAGUCCCCUCUGCACAAACAAAACACCUGAGAAGGAAAAGCAACUUUCAGAAAGGCAGCCUCUCAGUCCAUAUGCAUUGACAAUGAUUGGAAAAGGGCCUUUGAAUUGGGAAGGAAAAUGGCAGAAAGAAAUAUUAGCAUGCCAAACCAUAGGGUUGAUACUAUGGCCACGUUCAUGCAGCACAGCACAUCUACUGUAUGGAGUCGAGAAGUGAAUUGAGAGUCUUUUAUAAUGUUAGGUACUAUGAGCACAUAUCAGUUCUAUUACAUCUGGCUAGACACAUUAUUUGUUUUUUUGGCAAUUUCUUUAGGGAAAUUGUAGAAAAAGUGAUGGGAUUCAAGACUUGGGCAGAAACUGCACUGGUUGCCCCUGGGGGAUGACAAUCUCAGGACCUGCUUGGAGACAUGCAUCCUUCUUGGUUCAUUUACAUUUCUAGGGGGCCUUUAUUAUUAAGCAAAGUAUCCUGGGCUGCUUUCAAGGGUUUGAAGUUGAGAGCAAGUAAUGAUUCUGCUACUUCCUGAGUGGAUGGUCCAGUUGAUGGAAAUAAGGUUGAAGUAAUCUAGUGGCUGCUCACUUGAGUACAUGAAGCUGCUGAGGUGAGGUCAUCCAUCCAUUUGGAAUGUAGAAUCACUGAUAUACUGAUGAUAACCAGUUGCAAAUCCCCUGGAUGUGCCAGGUGAAACUCCUGAGCUAGUACUUGUAGUUAGGCUCUAAAUGAACAACCUGAGAUUGAAUCCUAUGUCCAAAAAAGCAUUUCUCACUACACACAGCAGUGGAACCAGAAUAGUACAUGUACCAAUAUCUUCUAUGAUAAUCAGCCCAGAACUGUAUCAGAGGAAAGAUGGAUAGAAACUGGGCCAGACUGGCUGAUUUAACAGUAUUUUUGUACCACUGACUCCAUAUGAAUUCUUGACAAUGUACAAACAGCUGCAAUUAUCAUCCAUGCAAUUAGUAGUCAGGAGGCCCAGAGUCACCUUACACCAAACUAGAGAUGGAAGGAUUCUAGCCUCUGACCAAGCUGUCAGCAACACAUCCUCAGAGACAUUAUCAAUUGUUCAUACAGCAAUGUUUAUAUUGGAAGAAGAGGGCCAUUAUAAUAUCACUUUAACAGCAGAGUAACUAAAGGCAACUUCAAUUGUCCCCAGUUGGCUACAGACAAAAUUCAGGUGAUGUCAUGAGAAUUGUUUUUUAAAAGUGGUAACAGUAAUUAGUGAGGGUCUUCAUGCUAUUUUCAAACAAUAUGGAUACAAUCUGGCAAAUUUUGUAGCCUAUCAAAAUCUGCUCCUUUUUCCUCACACCAGCUUCAACAGACACACCCCUCCCCAAUAAACAAAUAAAUAAAUCAAUAAAAUCCCAAGCAAAUUCAGUUUCGCCUACAUCAUAUCAUAUGUAUUAAGAAUUCAAAUCAAAUUUUAAUAUAGUUCCUUCCAGAUCCCAGUUUUGAGAUAAAACAAUUUCUUAGAAGGAUUAUAUGCAAGAUUAGUAUUUUUAAAAAUCUAUUUAGAGCUAGAAGAUUAAAUUUUUAUUCCUGACAGAUUUUUACAAAUAGAGCAAAAUAAUUAUUCUCAGCAGCUUCAUUUGUAAUAGUGUAUAUGAGGAUUGCUUAAAAAUCUAAAUUCACCAUACUUUGUCCCAGCUACAAAUAUGAACAUUUUGGUUUGAAAAGGCAUAUAGUAUAUAAAUUAUUUUGAAAACUAGGAUAACUAAAUUCUCAUCCUGUAGUUGGUUUGCCCUCAAUGUUCAAAAUGUCUUUUUUUGCAAGUACUAUCUCCAGAAUACAAGGAACAUCAAAGAGACAAAGGUGAGUAACCAACCAUAUUGUUUUUGUAGGUACCUGUAGUAGAAGUGGGGACAGAACGGCAGUCUUUCCUCUGUACCCAGAGGGGAAAAAAACCCUUCCUUCAGAACUACUGUCUUUGGGAGAGGCUCCCUUUAAGUUAAUGGGAAUCAGAUGCAAAAAGAUCUGUUUCCCUAUGCUAAUUACACACAAGAUUACAUUUUAAAUGCACUGUGCCAUUUUUAACGACCAGUCUUAAAUUGCUGUAUCAUUGGUGGCUUAAUAUGUAAUGUCAUGAAUAUUGUGUAAUAGCACAAGUGUUUUUCCAUAAAAAUACAGAACAAGGAGAUGUAAUAAGAGAAAAACACCAAAAGAUAGCCGAGAAAAAUGCCAUGUUGGAAGAAGAAAACAAAUUCUUAGGCAGAAAAGUUGCAAGCCUUGAGGAGGAAAACAAACCCUUGAAAAAGAAAUUUAGAGGAAGUCAAGGAUGGAUUAGGAGAUGCUGACAGCAAUGAUAGAAGACAAGAAAGGGAGUACAAUUAUGUUUGAAUUAUGAUAUCUCAAUUUCAAAGACACCUGUACUCUUUUUUUGGGACUCCCUCUGCCUCCUGCCAAGAAGAUCAGCAGACAUGAAGUUCAAAUUACACACUAUAGGCAGUAUCUCCAUUUUCAAUCCAAUCAGAAACAUAUCUACCAACCAAUCAAUUGAAGAGACUGCAGUGAAUCAGUCAAUACUUGACAAGGAAGACAGUGCACUUCUGGGUGCAAAUAUGGGAUAACCCAGCGAAAUACAACAAGGACACAGCUUGGUUAAAGGAGGUGAAUAAGAAUUUAAAAAAACUGAAAUGAGAGAACAUAUAGUAACAACAGAAAUGGUAGACAAAAGAGCAAGUAAGAUUGAGAAUUGGUCAGCACCAAGUAAAGAUGAACUACAUGUUUUUUGGUUGAAACAUCUGACUGGUCUAACACUCGCUGGUUGCCAAGCAGUUCAACAGCAUACUGCAAGGGAGUGAAAUUGAAAAGUGGCUAACAUCUGGCAAAAUCUACCUGAUAAUGAAAUAUCCAGUAAAAGGGGCAGCACCAGGGAACUACAGACCUGCUUAUGGCAACUCAAUAGCUUAAAGCUAUUAAAAGAUCUGCUUUCUGUACUCCUACAGUUCUGGCCCUAGCACUAUGUGAAGGGGUGGGCUUCCAUUACUCCCCUCAGCUUCUGCCAACCUAGCAGUUCAAAAACAUGGAAAAUGCAAGUAAAUCGGGUGGGAUUCUACUCGUUCGGACCAGUUCAAGCGAACCAGUAGCUCUGACAAUCAGCUGGGAGCGAAUCGGUUCACUCUGAUGAUCAGGCCGGCCCUCCCACCUGCCCCUACACUUUACUUACUUUUAUAUUCUCUGCUGAUUGGCACGGCAGAGCGGAUUGCCACACCUCAGCUGUGUUACUCCCAAAUGAUAACACAGGUGGUUAGUAUUUGUAAAAUUGUGUACGCAUGCGCAAAGUGUGCGAUCACCGAACUGGUUGUUAAACCGGCAGCAAUCCAUCACUUAUUUACUUAGUAAAUAAUAAAUUUAAACUAUUAUUAUUUUAAACUUAGUAAAUAAUUAGUAAAUAAUAAAUGACUUAUUUACUUAGUAAAUAGAUAGUACUCUGGUAGGAAGCUAAUGGCGCUUCAUGUGACAGCAAGAAGCUAACGAUUGCCAGACCUGCCUGAAUGCAAAGCGAAAUCAUUGGAGAAAAAGUCCGGGAUGACGCCAACGUUCCCACAGAAUAAUGUUAGUCACUCUGUAUGGAGCUAGUUCGGCCACUGCAUGGCACCUUGGAUAGCGCGCGGGCAUGAAUUAAACAAACUAACAAUAACAUUGUAGACUCCCUGGUACUCAAUGUACAAAUGUUGUAAGCUAAAUAAAUAAAAAGCCUGCUUGCCAACAACUUUCAAAUUACUAAAUGGUGUGGUAGCUGAUUCAAUCCAACACUAUCUACUUGAAAACAAACUCUUUCCACCUAAACAGAAAGAAAAUUGCCCUACGGCAUUAGAUACAGAAAUGGAAUAAUGGACUGCUUCAAGCAGAACUAAAGGCCAUGUAUAGGAAGACCAGAAAAAUAAUGACAUGAAUCACGUCCUUCAUUAUUAUAGUGACAUUGACAGACUCUAUUUACCAAGGAAAAUAAAUGGGUGUAAAAUGUUAUAAGUACAUCAAAUGGUUGAAGAAAAAAGAGCAUUGGAAGAAAAUCUGAAGGACUAAAGAUCCACUGAAAGAGUAAAGAUCCUAGUAUACAAGGAAGACUUAUUGAGUACUUAAUCGAGACCAAAUUGGGCUACAAAAAUGAACAUAAAGAACAGAAAUGAAACAUGGGAAGACAAAGAAGUGCAUGGUCAGCACAUUUAAAAUAGCAGGCAAAGCAGAUAAUUACAAGGGUCUGGCAAUGGCUAAGAGCAGGAAAGUUGAAGAAAGAGAUUUGGGGCUAAUUCUGGCUGCACAAGACUAAGCCUUAAGAACAAAUGCAUACAUAGCCAGAAUUCAGAAUACAGCAACGGACAGCAAAUGCUGCAAGAAGAUUGCACAAACUGACUACAAACAAUGGCUUGACAAAAGUAGCAACAAAGGUGCAUUGCAAGAGCUGAAAGAAAUACAAUUUGUCUGCAGCAAGAACAGGUGGGACCAUAAAAUGUAGAAGCUGAAGUGCUCUGGGACUCAGAAUUCAAACAGACAGGCAGGCAUCUGCCAUAUAACAAGCCAACUGUCGAUAAGAAAGACAAAAGAAGUCUGAAUAGUGGCAGUACCUGGAGACAGUAGAAGACAACAAAAUACAAAGACCCACAAAUAGAAAUAGAAUGACUAUAGUAAAAGAAAGCAAAAGUAGUACUAACAGUAAUAGUCCCGUUGGGUGCAAUUGCAAAACAACUGGAGCAUCACCUGGACACCAUCGGCAUUGACCAAAUCUCCAUCAACCGAUUGCAAAAGGCUGCUUUUACUCACAAUAGCUUACAUCCUGUGACAAUACUUCUAAAACCAUCAAACAUUAACUUCUGCCUAUCUCAUGUCUCUUGUGAAGGACUCAAUAGAUGGAUGAAAAUGCCAAAUCCAGUCUGAACAUCUGGCUUAUUCCUUUCUCCAGGACAGUAUAUGAAAUUAGCUUCUUCUGAUAACUGAUACUCCUGGUUUGCUACCCAAACAUCAAAAUUAGAAGACAUGUCAGAUCACAGAACUCUUGAAAUAAAAACUUAUCUAAACAUUCUGCGGGGGGUGGGGGGGGAGACUAACGGAGCUCUUUCCACAAUACUCAAUAGGGAUCAAAAUGAUGGGGGAUUCUUUCCUUGUUCAGUUUUUACAAAAAAAACCCAGCAACUUUGCCAAAAGAAAGCAAUGAGUGGGAGUAUCGCUACUGGUCUAUGGUCAAAACACCAAAAUUAGCAGGGACAUCUGACUUGCAGACCUCUUGAAAUAAAAUGAAAUGCACAAAGAA